This 410-nucleotide long non-coding RNA is filed under the name Sinocyclocheilus anshuiensis. RNAcentral describes it as "lncRNA (ENSSANG00000047211.1)". Lineage: Eukaryota; Metazoa; Chordata; Actinopteri; Cypriniformes; Cyprinidae. The record is from RNAcentral.
GAAACAGGUUAGUUUCCUUUGUAAAGUGAACGACGACUCCUACAAACUUCUUCCUGCUCUCGUUUUAUCAACAUGGAAAGAAAAGUCUACAUGAUGAAACCUCAAAAUACAGGACGAUGAACAGACAUCAGGAGUCAGAGAAGAUGACUAAAGAAAUAGAUGGAGGAAAGUACAGAAUAUCAAAAUGUCAACCUCAAACCACGGUGAUUGUCGUCCACAAUCCUCCUCGUAGGAGAAGAUGGAGCAAAGAACAACCUCCUCAGAGUAAGUCUUUAUCUACAUAAAUACAUUAAGUUAUGUGUCGAAAUUAUGGGCAAUUUAUUCCCAUCAAAACACAAGUGAUUAAAAGUAUCUUCUGCUGCUGGAUUCUGGUUAUUUUGAUCUGUGAUGUUGGAUUAAGGUCAAGAUCC